UACGUAGGGGGCGAGCGUUGUCCGGAGUGACUGGGCGUAAAGAGCUCGUAGGCGGCCUGCUAAGUCGAACGUGAAAUCCCCGGGCUCAACCCGGGAACUGCGUCCGAUACUGGGAGGCUUGAAUCCGGGAGAGGGAUGUGGAAUUCCAGGUGUAGCGGUGAAAUGCGUAGAUAUCUGGAGGAACACCGGUGGCGAAGGCGGCAUCCUGGACCGGUAUUGACGCUGAGGCGCGAAAGCCAGGGGAGCAAACGGG
This 253-nucleotide ribosomal RNA is filed under the name uncultured bacterium. RNAcentral's name for it is "partial 16S ribosomal RNA". It matches the Rfam family "Bacterial small subunit ribosomal RNA", at positions 524 to 776 of the family's 1533-position model. The record is from RNAcentral.